ACAUUUUUUUUUAGAUGCUAGACAACUAACUUUAUUGGAGAGUUUGAUCCUGGCUCAGGAUGAACGCUGGCGGCGUGCCUAAUACAUGCAAGUCGAGCGAAUGGAUUAAGAGCUUGCUCUUAUGAAGUUAGCGGCGGACGGGUGAGUAACACGUGGGUAACCUGCCCAUAAGACUGGGAUAACUCCGGGAAACCGGGGCUAAUACCGGAUAACAUUUUGAACUGCAUGGUUCGAAAUUGAAAGGCGGCUUCGGCUGUCACUUAUGGAUGGACCCGCGUCGCAUUAGCUAGUUGGUGAGGUAACGGCUCACCAAGGCAACGAUGCGUAGCCGACCUGAGAGGGUGAUCGGCCACACUGGGACUGAGACACGGCCCAGACUCCUACGGGAGGCAGCAGUAGGGAAUCUUCCGCAAUGGACGAAAGUCUGACGGAGCAACGCCGCGUGAGUGAUGAAGGCUUUCGGGUCGUAAAACUCUGUUGUUAGGGAAGAACAAGUGCUAGUUGAAUAAGCUGGCACCUUGACGGUACCUAACCAGAAAGCCACGGCUAACUACGUGCCAGCAGCCGCGGUAAUACGUAGGUGGCAAGCGUUAUCCGGAAUUAUUGGGCGUAAAGCGCGCGCAGGUGGUUUCUUAAGUCUGAUGUGAAAGCCCACGGCUCAACCGUGGAGGGUCAUUGGAAACUGGGAGACUUGAGUGCAGAAGAGGAAAGUGGAAUUCUUGUGUAUCGGUGAAAUGCUUAGAGAUAUGGAUGAACACUAGUGGCGAAGGCGACUUUCUGGUUUGUUACUGACACUUAGGCUCUUCAGCGUGU
Molecule: ribosomal RNA, 813 nt
Filed under: Bacillus cereus
Lineage: Bacteria; Bacillati; Bacillota; Bacilli; Caryophanales; Bacillaceae
Description: bacterial SSU rRNA
Rfam family: Bacterial small subunit ribosomal RNA
Source: RNAcentral